GUCCUGGGGAAGAGCCAGAGCAGCAGGGAGCAGCGCAGCGCCCCCAGCAACCGGAGGAGGAAUGACAUCACUUCCCAGCCAGCCGGAGCUGAUUAAAGUCGCAGGGCCAGAUUGGGGCCUACCAGCUUUCCGAAUGUUUGAUGGACCAGAGAAACCUGAGAUCCACUAAAAAGACAUUGAGACACCUUUGUAAUGGGGUAUCCUGCAAAAUUCAAAGGUAAAAUCCUGGGAAGCAAGUGCUGAAGGUGGAAUCCUGAGAUACCCUGAAAUCCUAAUUUUUGUAAAAUUUUAGGAAACAUGUGUGUGUGUGAGUAUCUAUCUACAAUAUGCCAG
This is a long non-coding RNA of Mauremys reevesii (Reeves's turtle), 333 nucleotides long. RefSeq lists it as uncharacterized. Lineage: Eukaryota; Metazoa; Chordata; Testudines; Geoemydidae. The transcript is spliced from 3 exons. The record is from RefSeq and is a predicted model, not a curated record.